AAAUGGGUUUGGGCAAAUGCCAGAGCCAACCGCAGUAACUGUGGAGGCUUCAGACAAACUCUGCCCAGGAUUUAGCACCCCAGGGCAGGCAGCCACAGGCACACAAAGCCACAGAUGCACCUUGUUCUAUGCAACAAAAUAUUGAAAAACAAAACCCAGGUAUCAGCUCCUUUUGGUCAUUCCCAUCUGUGUUUGAUUCCUCAGUAAAUUAUUCUUUCCCUGCUCCUGAGACAAAAAUGAAAUUAAAUUUGGAGAAAUAACUCCCUCACGCACAAACAUUUUUGUGUGCUCACUUGUAUCUAAGGAACAGACAUUCCACGAGGGACCCGGGUGUCAAGAGUUGCAUCCCAGUUCAUGCAUGACAGGGACCUGGCAGCGGGACCCGUCCCCGCAGCUGGCUCUCCAACCCCUAGCCGGCACUGUGACCAUAGCAAAAUGCCAGAAGCCCAGAGAAGUGGGGUUUCUGAAGCAGAUCAUUUGUGCAGCCUGAGUACGUGCAGCGGGAACACACCUGGAGGUAAUUAAAAGGCUUUAUAGGGCAAUCAAGGCACCCUGAAAAACAACUUUUUAUUUAAAAGCCAAUAACGAGUUGUACAAGAAUGAAAACCUUAUCCCUUCCAAAGGAUCUGCCUAUAAAUUAUGUAUAAAAUUAGAAUAAUCCUAAACACAAAAUGCCAAAGACCGGCAGGGUCCACUCCUUCCUCUCCUAAGCCAUCUUGACAGUUUCACAUUUCGGUUUCCAGACGUUAUUUGUCUCGCUUUUAAGGGUGCUUACCCAGCCGUGGUGUGUACCAGACAGGGUUGUUGGCACGGCGUAGGCGCUGCCGGCAGGCCUUUGGGAGCUUGGCGAGGUGUGAGCCUUGAGAAAUAUCUGGCUCGGACCCAUGGUGAGGUUUGUGUGUCAACUCCCUGGUUCUCAGAGAAUCUCUGAGUCACAUGUGAGCAGACACUUCUUCCAAAACCAAAGGAGGAAUUUUGCAAUCAUUUGGACAGGUUAUAAUAGAAUCUCAUUCAGAUCUUGAAGGUUAUUGGUACUUUCUGCAAGUUUUUAUUCCUCAAAAAUACAGGAAGGCUUUGCUGUACUUAUCUUGGUAGAUCUGAGCUCUAGGUUGGACUAUCUUUUCCUAAUUCAACUGGCUUUUUUGCAAGGAAGGGGGUUUCUCAUCCAUCUGAGGGAUCAAGGGCAUGGUCUGUACAAAAAUAGACAUUCAGCAGACAGACGACAGCCAGCACAUGCGACCAGCGUCGUUUGGCUAUUUUAGUCUCUUCUUAAUACAUAGACAAACGAGCAAAGAAAAGGCUACUUUGUCCAACACGGGGCCCUGGGUUGGAGUUUAGCCCUGCUUGGUUCUGCCCGCUAGUCUCACAUCAGGUCGCUCACCUGGGGCCUGGGGGAACAGUGGUCUUGGUGGUCUUCUCUGGCCCUUCCACCUCUUCUCCCUUGUGGGGACCACCCAAGCCCUCUCCCCACUUGCCCAGAGGCUGCAUGCCUCUCUGGCAUCACAGUCUGCACAGGAACUGGCUGUAGGACUCCACUGAACUCCUGCCGGGGCUGGCUUUGUGCCCCAGGCACACCCACUUCACUUCUGCCUCCUUUCUGUUGGUUUCUGGCCUGUUUGGUCCCAGCCCCUCCCCGCACUCUCUCUGCAGCUGUGCCUGGUGGGUGAUAUGAACCAAGGGACACUGAGGAUCGUGGCAAUGCCUGGACUGUUUGGUAAUCGUCGGCAGUCUAUCCCUGGCUUCUGAGCCUGGGCCCUCCUCCUUGUUCUCCCUCUCCUGGAUGAGCAGGACAUGCUGGGGAGACAGGGUCCUACAAAGGCCUUGUAAGAGCUGGGCCCUGUGUCAGGAGAGCCUCCCGUAUCUCCAGGGAUGUCCCUGGAGCUCUCCAGCUGAUGCCUCUGCUGAGGUCCCUAAGUGGCAGGAACAGGACUCUAGGGGAGGAGUUGGGGACAGGCCUCUAAGGGGAGGGUGCACCUCGGGUCAGCUGCGCCUGCAGCUCACCAGCCCCCUACACCGGGGCUAGCUUCAGUCUCAGCAGUGUCUGCUCAACAGGUGUGGCUGCUGUCAACACAGUGGGGCCAGGCCCUGGAGACUGUGACAUCUUCUGUGGCUGCUUGUUUAAAGGACAUGGGUUGGAGAAAGACUAUGUUCUUUUAAAGCUGGACUACCCAACAGCCUCUGCUAGCAGAUACAGCUUUGCUGCUGUUCUUUAAGUUCAAGGUGAUGUGGAGGUGUUGCAGUGACAAUCAGGACACCAUGAGCAACAUGGGCCACCAAAGUCUACCCCGAAGUGCUCACACCUGGGCCUGCUUUGGCACUUAACACUGGGGCAAAGGUCCCUUUCUUGGGGACUCACCCUCCACUUCCAGUCUCCCCGGGAGUUAUCCUCUCACCUGCCUUCUAGGCCCUGCCAGCAGCUCCACGAGCACCUCUGCCCACCCCACUCCACCAUUGGCUUCAGCAGCCUGGCCCCGCCCAUGGCUCAGCCCCACCCAUAGUUCAUCCCGCCCAUGACUCCCACGCCUCCCAAGCCUCAGCCCACCCACAGCUUAUCCCUCCCACGGCUAGGCCCCGCCCACACUUCGUACCUCUCAAGGCUCAGCCCCGCCCCCAGCACCCCUCCCAUGGCUAGGCCCCGCCCCAGUUCCCUCCCCCAUGGCUAGGCCCUGCCCACGGCUCGGCAGCCUGGGCAGGCGUCGCGACGGGCAGCUCCACGACCAGGGACAGGAACCAGAGGUUUGUCUUUCGGAGUACCCCACCCCAGGAAGGAAGAGUUCAAGGCUUUCGGGCUGCUCCCCGACUCCAUGGGCUCCUCUUCCCCUCCUAAGGCCCCUCAGGGCCAGAAUCCCUGGCCCCCAGGACCUGGGGCAGCAGGCAAGGAGGCCUGUCUGCCUGGUGCUGUCUCCAUGGCACAGAACUACACUGCAGGGUUCCAGAAUCACAGAAUAGCCCGAUGGGCUGUCCCCAGCAAAGGGGCCUGGUGACCAGCACUGGACACGGCAUCAGCUGGUCACAGGCUUCAGAAUGCAUUGUUUUACCCAGGGAGCUUCAAGACGGACACUGGCUUUUAACAGAGCAGCCCUGCUGCACCAAAGGAGGACACGGCCGUUUACCUACGGACUAUUCUCCAUCAACCCCGAGGCAGGGAUGCCCUCUCCAUACCCAUAACCCAAAGCGCUAGGCCACUGGCUCCCAAGAGUGAGCAUGUCCUGCAGAAAUACCUUGGUUUAAUGAGAGGGAGCAGCUGCCAUAGAACGGAGGAUCUCCCCCAGCGAACAUGCAGGUACCUCACCUUCUGAGGGCUUUCGAGGGUGGACUGGUUCCUAGGACCUGCAGCUUUGAGCCGUCAGGCAGGGAGGUCCGGGACGGCGCCUCAGGGAGUGGACCUGGGCGGGUAGAGUGAUGAGGGCAGGGGUCUACAGAGGGCCUGUGUCAGUUACACAGUCCGUCAAGUUAUCAGCCAGUUCAGUGGAAAAAAAAUGGUUUUGGCAACUCACAGUCCAAAUGAGGAAAACACGUGCACAAGCUAGACCCUUGGCUGACUCGUUUCCACCCACUGUAGAAACAGAGCCUACGUGGAGACGGGCCAGGCAGCAAACUGCAGGGUGGAGCUCGUCCUCCACUUUGAUGGUGGCCCCAUCGCUGAGUGACUGGGAGAGGAUGGGUUGGGCUGGGCACACCUGUGUCCUCCUCCCACAGGGCAGGUGGACUUUCGAAGCUCCUCUCUCCCUUCCACAAGACACUGUGUUGGGGCCAUCAGCCUUCUGACCGACGUGGAGGAGGCCCCAGGCUCAGGCUGAGCUCCCAGGGGUGACUCAGAAGGCUGCCAUGCUGCAGAAGAGGCACCCAGGGAUUAGACUGUUUCCAUGAAAAGAAGCAUUGGGAGAAGGCAUCUGCUGUGUAAGGAGGGGCUUUCUAACGCUGGUCUCUCCUGAGACUGAGGCCAGCCCUGGCAGGGGUCCUGACAAGGGUGCUGUGGAGAUCUGGACACCAGGCCUGGGCUGUGCAGGGGUCUAGAUGCCCCUGAAGGCCCACCCAGGUCUAAGGCUCUUCCUCUUGAUGCCCUAGCAAGGGCUAAUCUCACACACAAGCAAGAGAUGGGCAUGGACACUGUGUGCUUACCCCAGGACCUCCCUCUUAGGCCUCUACAGCUGCUGCCUCCCAGGGCUCUGCACACCAAGCCCAGCUGUGGAGCUGUGAGUGCAGAGGCCACACACAUGGGGUGAUGGGGACUGUCCCAGGCAGCAGAUGCGACGUGCCCCAUCAGAGCCUGUGCUCUCCCUUGAAUGGCGGGCCUGCCUCCUCACUCUCCUCUCCUCUUCCCCUGGGUGACCCCACAGAGGCCAAGCCACCUGCUGGGCUUGGUAACAGACAUCGCCCUGCUGCUCUCAAAAGUGCGUGUGAUGCAGCUUUUGUGAUUAUAAUUUGGGAUUUAAAAAGUCUUCAUCUACGCAGUGACAGAAUCCACCAGACUCCUUCCUGGGAAGGGCAGCUCUGGAGGGCAGUUCUCCAGGGGGCAGGGAGGGUGACAGGGGAAAGGAUGGUGUGAGGGGCUGGGGCGUGGAGUAAGCUCAUGUGGGGACCUGGGUGUCUUUAGCUCCUCACUGGCUUGAGACGGGCCGUGUUUUUCCGUGGGGAUGGGGGAAGCUGGUCUCACAUCUUCCUAAGGCAUAGUGGGGCACGUCUGCCUGGCCUACUGGGCCGAGAUCGGGGGCAAAUCCUGGUUGUUGAGGGUGUCACCAGGAAGAGGGGGGUGGCGUUGGCGCUGGCUGCUGAUAGCAGCUCCUCACAGGUAAAGGUUGUGGGCAGGCUGCAAGGUGCUGUUGGAGAACAGGCUCCCUGGUGGCCCCGAGUUCAUGGAAGACGUGUCUGUUGGCACUGAAAAACCACCAUCCGAGCUGCAGCUGGAGAUGAGGAGAUGCGAGCCACUGGCCCUUCCCAGAGAAUGAAGCAAAGGCAUUUGGGAUUCCUUCAACAAACAAAAGCACAAAGAGAAAGAGAAGCGACGCAGAUAUUGAGGUGUUAAGUAGGUAUCAUCCUUCUUCUCCUAACACGAUAAAUUAUCUUUCCACUUGUAGUUCCUGUGUCCUCUGCUGCAUUGCCAUCACGGCAUGGAGGCAAUGACGGAGACCUAGACUGGAAAGUUCUUCUUCGUGGGCAGAGACAGGACGAUAAUGAUAUCGUCGGAGUCAUCGGAGUUGAUGUCAUCCCCAGGUGGAGGUGUCACGAGCUGUGACCCCGGGGGGGGGGGUCUGUGGAAAUGAACUGCAGAGAGAGGGGUCAGCCACACUGACCUCAGGGGCUGCCACUGCAGACACACUUUCACUGUCUGCUCUUCCCUGCAGGAUGGCGGCCACCCCCAGAAGCACAGAAACUACAACACUGGAGGAAGUGACAAGGACACAACCCAUCAGCUCACCAUUGUCCUCUUACACAACAGAUGGGAAUGACACCGCGACAGAGUCUUCAGAUGGCCUUUGGAAUAACAAUCAAACUCAACUGACCCAAGUAUAUAGUCCACAGAUGGCCACCACCACUAAGGAACUUUAUGCUGGACUCUGCAUUUCUGUCUUGGUACUUUUGCUCUUUUAGGUGCCAUCACUGCCAAAAUGGUCUGCCUUUUUCCUUAUUCGUGUUAUUCUUCAACAACUCUUUCUGCAGUAUUUCUUUUAGCAGCCUUCAAAUUAAAGCUUUGCAAAAUGCAGCUAAAAAGGAAGUCCAAGCAGAAGACAGUAUCUACAUUGAGAAUAAUCUUUAUGGCACGAACUGAGACCCAGUGGUGCUCUUCAAGAGUUUGCAUCCAUGACAGCAGAAGACAACAGAUAUCAGCAUAUCAGACAUCUUUUAGACUCCAAGAUGACAAUGUUUCUGUAUCAAUUUUUUCUGGCAUUCCAACAUGUCAGGACUGGGUAG
Sapajus apella (tufted capuchin) is the source of this 5913-nucleotide RNA transcript. RefSeq lists it as uncharacterized. The record is from RefSeq and is a predicted model, not a curated record. Lineage: Eukaryota; Metazoa; Chordata; Mammalia; Primates; Cebidae. The transcript has 6 exons.